UACGUUCCCGGCCUUGUACACACCGCCCGUCACACCACGAAAGUGGGUAACACCCGAAGCCGGUGGCCCAACCCUUGUGGAGGGAGCCGUCGAAGGUGGGAUCCGCGAUUGGGGUG
Molecule: ribosomal RNA, 116 nt
Filed under: uncultured bacterium
Lineage: Bacteria
Description: partial 16S ribosomal RNA
Rfam family: Bacterial small subunit ribosomal RNA
Source: RNAcentral